AUGAGGGGCAGCACGUUGCGUCCAGACGUCUCCGCCGCCGGCCUCUCUACACUCUGCUCCCCAGUCCCCACCUCCUCCGGUCCUCCCGCACGGCCGCUCCUCCGCGAUGACACCAACCGUCCAGAAGCGGAGUCGCCGCCUCGACCCGGGGUCCCCCCGUCCCCGUCGUGGUCGGCACCACGCACAUCCCGAGGCACCACCCGCUCGUUGUCGGCACGCCCGAGCCUGCCAAGAAGGAGGCCGUGCCGCGGAGGGGCUCCUGGGGCCGAGAAGCAUAGCGGCGCCGGCGAUGCCGGGGUGCUCGCAUCACCCAAGGUUGUCAGGCCCAUCGCGCUCAACUUCGAGGAGAAGACGCCCGUCAAGGAGCGGCCCUAG
RNAcentral lists this ribosomal RNA (375 nucleotides) under Triticum aestivum (bread wheat). RNAcentral describes it as "partial small subunit ribosomal RNA". Lineage: Eukaryota; Viridiplantae; Streptophyta; Magnoliopsida; Poales; Poaceae. The record is from RNAcentral.